CUGUGGUUGGGAUUGUAAAAGUGGCAGUCUAGAUUGGUAAUUUCAAGCUUAUAUCAUACACAGCAUAAUAAAUUGAACUAUUAUGUGCUCCAUUGUGCUAUUUUUAGAUUUACCCUUACAUACGAGGGUGUUACGAAUAGGGUAUGUGUGUUUCUCUCCUUCACAUAUAUUACUUCCCUGAACAGGUAGAACAAGACACACUUGCACGGAUUAACAUGAAGGAUGGAUUUAUGUUGGGAGUUUAGUUUGUGAACAACUCUCGGGAUGUAUUGACAUGGCUUUCUACUUGAACACGGUGGCUAUUCGAAUGAAGAAGGACAGACCUGGCAGAUAUAGAGUGUCUAAUUGAAGGUGAAACAUGUGCGUCCAUCUAUAUGAUUGUGAAAGGGAAUUCAUCCAAGAUGUACGACCAUAGAUGAACUUGUUUUGAAGUUUCAUAACAGCAUAGACAAUGGCGGAUGACACAGACAAAGAACGGGGAAUGGGCGUUAAAACUGCAGCACUAGAGGAUGACAUGGCUCUCUCAUUCAUCCAUGGAACAGAUAUCUCAAAGACAUCAACCUUGGACACGAAGACAGAGGCAACGUCAUCGGAACGGCGAAUGGGAACAUUAAGAGCACUAAAGGAAGCCAUGGAUUUCCCAAACAUCCCUGAAAUUUAUAUCCCAAAGUGGUCAACCUUUGACACGAAGACAAAGGCAACA
Pecten maximus is the source of this 703-nucleotide long non-coding RNA. RefSeq lists it as uncharacterized. The record is from RefSeq and is a predicted model, not a curated record. The transcript has 5 exons. NCBI's taxonomy places the organism in Eukaryota, Metazoa, Mollusca, Bivalvia, Pectinida, Pectinidae.